RNAcentral lists this ribosomal RNA (432 nucleotides) under uncultured bacterium. Its description in RNAcentral is "bacterial SSU rRNA". It matches the Rfam family "Bacterial small subunit ribosomal RNA", at positions 29 to 507 of the family's 1533-position model. The record is from RNAcentral.
AGCGAACGCUGGCGGCAGGCCUAAUACAUGCAAGUCGAACGGUCUCUUCGGAGGCAGUGGCGGACGGGUGAGUAACGCGUGGGAACGUGCCCUUUGGUACGGAACAACUGAGGGAAACUUCAGCUAAUACCGUAUGUGCCCUUCGGGGAAGAUUUAUCGCCAUUGGAGCGGCCCGCGUUGGAUUAGCUAGUUGGUGGGGUAAGUGGCCCACCAAGGCGACGAUCCAUAGCUGGUCUGAGAGGAUGAUCAGCCACACUGGGACUGAGACACGGCCCAGACUCCUACGGGAGGCAGCAGUAGGGAAUCUUGCGCAAUGGGCGAGAGCCUGACGCAGCCAUGCCGCGUGAAUGAUGAAGGUCUUAGGAUUGUAAAAUUCUUUCACCGGGGACGAUAAUGACGGUACCCGGAGAAGAAGCCCCGGCUAACUUCGUG